Molecule: ribosomal RNA, 444 nt
Filed under: uncultured bacterium
Lineage: Bacteria
Description: bacterial SSU rRNA
Rfam family: Bacterial small subunit ribosomal RNA
Source: RNAcentral
CUACGGGAGGCAGCAAUUAGGAAUCUUGCGCAAUGGGCGAAAGCCUGACGCAGCGACGCCGCGUGACUGAUGAAGUCCUUCGGGAUGUAAAGGUCUUUUGCAGGGGAAGAAGGAUGUGACGGUACCCUGCGAAUAAGCCCCGGCUAACUACGUGCCAGCAGCCGCGGUAAUACGUAGGGGGCGAGCGUUGUCCGAAUUUACUGGGCGUAAAGCGCGCGUAGGCGGACUUUUAAGUUGUGGGUGAAAUGCCGAGGCUCAACCUCGGAACUGCCUGCAAAACUGGGAGUCUUGAGGUAUGGAGAGGGAAGUGGAAUUCCUGGUGUAGCGGUGAAAUGCGUAGAUAUCAGGAGGAACACCUGUGGCGAAGGCGGCUUCCUGGCCAUAUCCUGACGCUGAGGUGCGAAAGCCAGGGGAGCGAACGGGAUUAGAUACCCCUGUAGUCCA